AGAGUUUGAUCCUGGCUCAGAACGUACGCUGGCGGCACGCCUAAUACAUGCAAGUCGAACGAAGUAGCAAUACUUAGUGGCAGACGGGUGAGUAACAUGUGGGUAUCUUCCCUUUGGUGAGGAAUAACACGAGGAAACUUGUGCUAAUACCUCAUAAGUCUUUACAGAGAAAGCUUUAUGCGCCAUUGGAUGAGCCCGCACUUGAUUAGUUUGUUGGUGGGGUAAUGGCCUACCAAGACUGUGAUCAAUAGCUGAUUUGAGAGGAUGAUCAGCCACAUUGGGACUGAGACACGGCCCAAACUCCUACGGGAGGCAGCAGUAGGGAAUCUUGCACAAUGGAGGAAACUCUGAUGCAGCGAUGCCGCGUGAGUGAAGAAGGCCUUUGGGUUGUAAAGCUCUUUCGUCGGGGAAGAAAAUGACUGUACCCGAAUAAGAAGGUCCGGCUAACUUCGUGCCAGCAGCCGCGGUAAUACGAAGGGACCUAGCGUAGUUCGGAAUUACUGGGCUUAAAGAGUUCGUAGGUGGUUAAAAUAGUUGGUGGUGAAAUCCCAGAGCUUAACUCUGGAACUGCCAUCAAAACUUUUUAGCUAGAGUAUGAUAGAGGAAAGCAGAAUUUCUAGUGUAGAGGUGAAAUUCGUAGAUAUUAGAAAGAAUACCGAUUGCGAAGGCAGCUUUCUGGAUCAUUACUGACACUGAGGAACGAAAGCAUGGGUAGCGAAGAGGAUUAGAUACCCUCGUAGUCCAUGCCGUAAACGAUGUGUGUUAGACGUUGGAAAUUUAUUUUCAGUGUCGCAGCGAAAGCAAUAAACACACCGCCUGGGGAGUACGACCGCAAGGUUAAAACUCAAAUGAAUUGACGGGGACCCGCACAAGUAGUGGAGCAUGUGGUUUAAUUCGAAGAUACGCGCAGAACCUUACCAACACUUGACAUGUUCGUCGCGACUCUAAGAGAUUAGAGUUUUCGGUUCGGCCGGACGAAACACAGGUGCUGCAUGGCUGUCGUCAGCUCGUGUCGUGAGAUGUUGGGUUAAGUCCCGCAACGAGCGCAACCCUCACUUUUAGUUGCCAUCAUUAAGUUGGGCACUCUGAAAGAACUGCCAGUGAUAAGCUGGAGGAAGGUGGGGAUGACGUCAAGUCCUCAUGGCCCUUACGUGUUGGGCUACACACGUGCUACAAUGGCAUCUACAACAGGAAGCAAAACGGCAACGUUAAGCAAAUCCCGAAAAGAUGCCUCAGUUCGGAUUGCACUCUGCAACUCGAGUGCAUGAAGCUGGAAUUACUAGUAAUCGCGGAUCAGCGCGCCGCGGUGAAUACGUUCCCGGGUCUUGUACACACCGCCCGUCACACCAUGGGAGUUGGUUCUACCUUAAGGCAAAGUUUAAAACCUUUGACCACGGUAUAGUCAGCGACUGGGGUGAAGUCGUAACAAGGUAACC
RNAcentral lists this ribosomal RNA (1436 nucleotides) under uncultured bacterium. Its description in RNAcentral is "bacterial SSU rRNA". It matches the Rfam family "Bacterial small subunit ribosomal RNA". The record is from RNAcentral.